This 32801-nucleotide long non-coding RNA is filed under the name Lactuca sativa (garden lettuce). Its description in RNAcentral is "long non-coding RNA (LSAT_LNC000382)". The record is from RNAcentral. Lineage: Eukaryota; Viridiplantae; Streptophyta; Magnoliopsida; Asterales; Asteraceae.
GCUGAGGAUGUUUACAUGGCUCAGCCAGAGGGGUUUGUGGAUCCGAAGCAUCCGAAUAGAGUGUGUAAGCUUGAGAAGUCCAUUUAUGGACUUAAGCAAGCGUCUCGCAGAUGGAAUCUUUGUUUCGAUGAGAAAGUCAAAGAGUUUGGAUUUGUACGAAGCGAAGAUGAAUCUUGUGUAUAUGUCAAAGCCAGUGGGAGUAUAGUAAGCUUCCUCGUUCUAUAUGUCGAUGACAUAUUACUCAUAGGAAACGACAUCCCGACUUUGCAGGAGGUUAAGUCCUGGCUCGGGAAGUGCUUCGCUAUGAAGGACCUCGGAGAAGCUUCUUACAUUUUGGGAAUAAGGAUAGUAAGAGAAAGAAGUAAGAGACUAAUUGGACUUAGUCAGAAUACUUACUUAGAGAAGGUACUAAAACGUUUUAGUAUGGAAAACUCAAAGAAGGGAGAAUUACCGAUACAAAGUAAUGCCAAGUUGAGUAAGACUCAAAGUCCGAGUACCGAAGCUGAAAUAGCAGAAAUGAGCCGAGUACCAUACGCUUCCGCAGUUGGCUCAAUCAUGUAUGCUAUGACUUGUACUCGCCCUGAUGUAGCCUUUGCUUUGAGCAUGGUUAGUAGAUAUCAAGGGAACCCUGGCAGAGCCCAUUGGAUUGCGGUCAAGAAUAUCCUUAAGUACCUUCGGAGGACGAAGGAAUGGUUCUUAGUCCUCGGAGGGAGUGAUGACUUGAAGGUGCGAGGGUAUAGUGACGCCAGCUUUCAAACCGACAGGGACAACUACCGUUCGCAGUCGGGCUGGGUCUUUACCCUGAAUGGAGGAGCAGUGACUUGGAAAAGUUCCAAGCAGGAAACCGUAGCUGAUUCAACGUGCGAAUCAGAGUACAUUGCAGCGAGCGAAGCGUCGAAGGAGGCAAUAUGGUUGAAGAACUUCAUCGGUGAUCUUGGAGUUGUACCUACCAUAAAGGAGCCCAUGGAGAUUUUCUGUGAUAAUGAAGGAGCGGUUGCCUUGACCAAGGAACCGAGGGAUCAUGGUAGAUCUCGACAUAUCGACAGAAAAUAUCACUUUAUUAGACAUUGUGUAGAAGAAGGACAACUCAUAGUGAAGAGGAUAUCAUCAGAAGAUAACCCAACAGAUCCGCUUAUGAAGGGGCUGAGUAGGGUUAGGCACUUGCAGCAUGCUAGGAGUAUCGGGCUGAAGGAUGAUAUUAGUAUAGAUUAGAUAGUAUUGAAAACGUGUAAUAGAUAAAUGUAAUUAACAUUUGAUGAUUAAAUAAAAGAGUAUUAUUUAUGAGUAAUGUUACUGUCUUAUGUUAAUCAUUUAACUAUAGUUUCACUUUGCAUGUUUUGACUUCCAGAAUAAUUGAAUAUUAUUGAGAAUAAUUGAAUUAUUCAAAUAGUCCACAAUCGUUCAUAUUUUGGAAGUAGAUAUGAAUGAAGAUUGUCAUGAAUUGGUAUGUAGAUUAUCUAAAUGGUAUUAGACAUAGCAAAAGUUUACUGCAACGUUCAUGAGUGCUUAUGAACUAGUUUUGAGCAUUGGAACAAACCCGCUCUUGCUGGAAUCCCCUUAUGGAAUAUGAUAAAAAGGAUGAUCGCAAGACGAUAAUAUCAUAUGGUCUUAAAACCUAGAUAUGUGGUUUGUUAUUUGUUAAUUGGUUGUACAUUGAUAAUGCGAAACCGCAUCAGUAACUUGAUGUUAUAAAAUGCAUUGUUGUGUAUAGUUGGUUAAUGAAUAAGUAAAUGCAUAUAAGUCGAAGUUUAUCUGUUACUUUUAUCCUAAGAGGUUAAAAGCGAUAUCUCGGCCGCUCGAUGAUUUGAUUUGACUUAUGUGCCAGGCCCGGUCAGAACUGAAUUGAUGUGUUUGAUUAAGUUCUAUGUCAAAUAAAUCUGAAAUCGAGAAACCAAAUGCUAAACAAAAAAAUUGAUUCCAUAAAAUUGUCAGCAUGAUAUCUAAACAGAGGACUGUACGAUCCCUUAUCUAAAGGACAAGAUUGAUUAGAUCAGAGUUUGACAGCGUCUUUGAGAGCUACGAUUGCUAAUCGGAAUAUACUUUUAUAUAUAGUUACUAGACUUAUCCAAGUGGGAGACUGUUAGAAUAGUGUCUAAGGCUACAACUAUAUUUGGCAAGUAUUUGACUCGGUUGUGCAUGGUCCUUUUGGGUUGCCUUCACCAUAGCAAGUUGAAAGGAUGAUUUAUAAUGAGAGAAGGAAUAUUAUUAAUAUAUUAAGGCUUAUGUUAUCCAAGUAGGGUUUAAGGGUGAAACCCUAGGAGCCUUACAAGUAUAAAUAGACCUCUAGGGUUGAGGAAUUCGGUACACUCUUGUCUCUAAAGAAUCCCUAGCUGAAAUUCUUCCUCUCUCCUCUCUCCUAAAUCAUCUUCUUGCUAGUUGGUGUUUGUAAGCCAUUAGAGGAGUGACAAUUGUGACUCUAAAGCCUCAAGGACAACAAGAUCAAGCAAGUGAUUCAAGGUAAAUUUCUAAUCUCUGAUUUAAUAUUUUUAUUAUUGUAUAUUAGCCAUUAGAAGUCUUGGAUUCAAUGAAUGUUCAAUUAGAGAAACCUAGAUCCAAGCAUUAGGGUUGCAUGUGCACAUAGGAAUGUUCAUAUGGCUAAAACCCAUCAGAUUGGGCCAGGCAUGAGUGUUCGUGUUUAUUAGUGGAUUGAUUAUGUAUGAUAUUUUGGGAGCUGAAGGACGCUUUAUCUUAUCAACACAAAGGGUUUGUUUUUGGAAGAGGGAAAGUUGGGUUUCCGAUACUUUGGAUCAUUAGGAUUUUUGUCAGGUUGGCGAAGUGGCAUGUAGGUUAGACGUUUUGAAAACGUUCGGUUAGAUUCACAUCGCUUUUCAUGUUGGGCAGCUGAAAAGGCGCCUAUUGGAUGAGUAAGCGGUUGUAUUGUUGGGUGAUGUUCAGGUCGGAGAGAACUUGAACUAUGUAGGGAGACCGGUGGCAACAUCAGAAAGGAUCCGAUUAGACUUGGGAGCCAGAGUCCAAGAUGCGGGAACAUUAUCCUGAAUUGAUCCCCGCAGCAGGCUUCGAGGACGAAGACUAGUUAAGUGGAGGAGAGUUGUAACAUCCCAAGUUUUGCCAUUUAUAGUCCCUAAGGAUGGAAGGGUAAAGCUAUGAAAAGCCUAAGGGCUAAAUUGCAAUUUUGGGAUCAGGAGGAGUACGUUGCGCAUACAUAAGGGUACGUUGAGCGUACUAGGCGCGCCCUAGUACGCUGGGCGUACUCAUGACAGAAGGAAACCCUAAUAUUUAGGGUUUGGGGGCUAUAUAAGCAACAUUAUGUGGACAAAACCCUCCCUUACCCUAGCCUCCACUGCUUAGAAUCGUUUUCCCUAAACCCUAGCCAUUUCCUUAAGUGUUUGAGCUUUUUGAGUGUUUCUUGAGUGUUUUAAGAAGAAGGUGUUGCAUCAAGGAGUUGGAGAAGAAGAGAAAACUUGUAGAUUUGAAGUUGGUUUGUGCCCUAGAAGCUCCAGAAGGUAAAAAGUUUGGAACUUUAUACUUGUAUGAGAUAGAUAUAGUCAUUUUAGCUUUAUGGAAGUAUUCUUGUCCCAAAAGUCCCAAAAUGGUCCAUGUUAUGAUUUGGACGAAUUGAGUUGUCCUUUCAGACCUUAGAAGAGGUCCUAAGUGAUAAAAAUUUUGUCCCAAUAGCUACAUUUUUCUCAUGCAUGAAGUAGGAAGGUCUUAAUGGAUUAAGACCAUGUGUUAAGAACAUUCUGGACGUCCAAAGUGAUAAAGUUCGAGACUUUAUAGCCCUAUGGCACAUUUGGUCGAUGGAUCUGGACUUUGGGCUUAAGUGCUGAAGCCAUUAAGCACUUAUUAGGGUUUUGGUGAAACCCCAUGUACGCCUAGUGUAAAUUCAAUACACCCAGCAUACUAGGUCAACCACCCUGAUGGUGGUCAACAUUUGGACGAGUACGCCCCGCAUAUGUCCUAUGUCGGGCCUUUGGCAAUUGGUCUUCGGGUUUUGGAUUGUUUAUGGACUAGUUGGAUUUGGGCUUUUGUUGGACUUUAUGAAUAUUAUCUUUUGGGCCAAGUUUUGAUAAUGGAUCUUGGAAUUAGACCCAAUUUGGUAAAUUGGGCCAAUAAUGGGCUUUGCAUAAGGACUUUCAAGGUUCUGGACUUGGUGUUGGGCCUUAGCCCAAUAAAGAGAAUGGACAUGAUGGAUUGUGUGGAUCCUUAGUCAAGAUUGUUAUGUUGUGUAAUGACUUGGUAUUUAUUAUGUGAUAGUUUGGGAUUUCCGGUAAGAUAGCGAUUUGAGGUUUUCGAUACUUCGGCACUACUUGUGAGGUGAGUUAUCCUCAUUAUAUCAACAAGGUCUAAGGCACCAAGGCUAGCCCUUUAUCGGAUUUGUAUCCGGGUAUUUGUUUGAUAUGUUUAUUGAUCUACUAGAUAUGCAUCCUGGUAGUUAGGAUGGUAUUAUGUUAGUGACCUGGUUUAGGUUGGUAUCCUAGUAUAAAGGAUAAUGUUAUGUUAGUGACCUGUUUUAGGUCGGUAUCCUGGUAUAAAGGAUAAUGUUAUGUUAGUGACUAGUUAGGUCGGUAUCCUGGUUAUAGGAUGGUUGUUGGGUUAGUGAUUUGUUAGAUCGGUAUGAUUAUCUUUUAUAUACAUGCUAUCAUAUGAUAUUUAUGUUUACAUGAUUGUUUGAUUGGUAUGGUGGUUGGUUUGAGGCCGGUCUUGCUUUGUGCUGUAGGCCACCAUACCCAGGGCGAUCCAGAUAGACUGCAGGCCAACAUAUCAAGGGUGGACCGGAUAGAAUGCAGGCCCAGGAGGGCACAUAGUCAGGUCGAAGGCCCGACGAGCGGUCCGGAUAGGCUGAAGGCCCCAAGAGGGCUGUCCAGACGUGCUGAGGCUCGGAGAGUGGGCCAGAUAGACUGAAAGCCUAGUGUGGGCGGUCCAGUCAUACUGUAGACUCAAAGAGUGGAUCAGGUGGACUGAAGGCCCUGUGUGGGUGGACCAGUCACACUGUAGACUCGGAAUGCAUGGCUGUUCUGUGUUUGUUAUAAGAUAUGUUUAUGGUUGUAUGAGGUUGGUAUUUUGGGGGUAACUCACUAAGCCUUCGAGCUUACAUUUAUCGAUUAUUGUUUCAGGUGUAGCGGAUGACCACGGGAAGGUGAAGGCGUGACUGUACACUUCCUCGAUUUACGAUUAUGAUUUCUGGGAACUCUGAUGUUUAAACUAUUUUGAAAACAAAUUGUAAUAACUGAAUGGUUUUAAAUGAUUUAAAAAGUUUUAUAUUGGCUUGAUUUUUAUGGAUGUUACAGGAAUUCGAAUGAGAAUUCCAGUCCGAGAUUCUGGGCUCUGACGCUGCAAUAACUUUAUCCUGAGAGAAUUGAAUUUGUCACAACUAGAAAUUUCAUGUCAAACCAAGCCCAAUGGUCUUGUAUAUGCAAGUGUUUUAGCUAUGAUACAACUAUGAUAUAUGAUUUAAGUUCAUAUUUUCUCUAAUCCCUAAUGAUUUUUGCAAAUCAAAUAAGGAUCACUUAAUAUGGACAUAAGGACUUGUGUUAUGUUGCAUCCUUAAACACUUGAACUAUAAGGACAACAUAUUUGAUUUUUUUCCAUUAACUAAGACCAUAAACCCUUCUAUUAGGGCCAUGCUGUCCGUAAACACCUCUAAGGGCCCAUGUUUUGGCCUUAAACUACUUUAAGGACCAAAGGUGGCCAUGAACACCUUAAAGAAUCCAAACCUUGGCCAUGAACACCAUUCUAGGCAACACCUAGGGCGUAAACACCUUAAAGAAACCAAACCUUGGUCGUAAACACCACCCUAGGCAACAUCUAAGGCGUAAACCACCUUAUUGAACCACAUUAGGAGCGUAAAAACCUAAAGGAACCACAUUAGGGGCGUGAACUACCUUAGGGACCCAUACUUGGGCAUAAACACCUUGUACUUGCUACCAUCAAUAAGAAAGCUUUAUCCAUCAGUAAUCCAAGCAAAUAUCAAAUCAUCUCCUUAUCCCUUAUGAUGAACGUAAAACCCCACUCCCCAUUUCACCAAACUUAUUUUCACUUUAUGAGAAGUCCGUGAACACUCUCAAAGAAUUCAAGCCAAGUUCCAGGAGCCUUAUUCCUUCACAAACUCUUCUAAAUUCUUGUAAGUAUUUCAUGCCUAGCUAGAGAUUUUACACAUUACUUUGUUGAAAUCCUUAUUGUUUACACAUAGUGUUAUAUUAUAACAACUCCAAGGUGUCAUAAUCUUCACAAGUUCAUUAAACACUUCAAGUGUUUAGGAUCAAAACUCUUCUCUCAUCACUUCAAAUACCCCCUUCAACUACCAAAGGUGAGCUUCAUACCCCCAUUUUCAAGUUUUUCUUCUUUUAGGGGAGAAUACAAGUCAAAGUCUUGUGUUAAUCUUGUCUAGUUGCUUGUAUAUGCAUAUUGUAUGUGUUAUAUGUUGUGAAUCUCAUGCAAAAAUUCCAAAAACUCGAGAUUUAUGGUUAGAUCUCAAGAAGUUGGAUUUAGUUAACAUAAUUUGUGGAUUAAAAUGAAAACUAGCUCCUCAAGGUAAUUUGUUUCUAUUGAUGUUUGGUAGAAAUCACAAAGAUUAACCCAAGAAUAUGUUUUAACAAAUUUUCUACAAGAAAACAUGAAAGAUGAUGAAAUAUGGAAAAUUUUCAUUAACAAGGGGCCAUUUUUGAACAUUUGGUAAUAAUGGGCCAAAAUGGUCAUUUUUGAUAUAAAUGGGCUUUUUAUGUCACUUUCUGUAAUUUUUGACUAAAAUUGAAUUUUUAGUAAAAACGAACAAUUUAUGACAUUUCUAAAUUAAAGGACCGAAAAUGAAACAUAUAACAAGUUUGGGCCAUUUAUGGCAUUUUUGGAUAACUAUAGGCCUUAAUUGAUAUUUCAUAUAAAGUUGGGUCAUUUCUUUGUCAUUUUCAGAAAUUUUGGACCAUCUUUGACAAUAUGAUUAAAAAUGGGUUCUCCUUAGCAUGCGUGAUAAAAAUGAAAUAUCUUGGCAACACACACAACUAACGUUAUUUAUAAUAUUAAACAACGGCAUCAACUAUUUGCGUAAAUUUCUGUUAGGAUUCUGGUGAGACGCAUCUUUAGUCGUAGCUACCUAGUGUACGUGGUAAGUCCUAUUAGUUAUAACCAGAGUUUCCUGGAGGGAGAGUGGGAGUUUAUGUAUAGAUCUAUAUGGGGUUGACAUCCUACACCUAAGCUGUUCGUUACAGCUAGACUAGGCCAGUCUAGGGUGACAAAUAUCUUUCAACAAAAUUGACGAAUGGAAAACGACAAGUCAGGCACUCCGUCAUAUUAGUAUGGUUAUAAUGACUCACUUAGAAUCUAAAAAUUUACAUGAAACACAUAUUUAAAUUGUAACCAACUACAGGUUGAAUACUUUAAACACAAUUUCACCACGCAGGUCUUAGGGUUUUAAGACCAUAACUUUCGUAUAUCAGAAAAUAUAGGAGUUUCUGUGGAACUCACAAACAAGAAUAAACAAGAACACACUUGCAACUAUACAUGAUUUGAAAAACAAGAAUAUCACAAACUAUUUUGCUUUACAAGAAAUAUUGGAUUUUCUGGGGUUUUAACUACCACAAAGAUUUUCAUUUAAACAUACUUAUGAACUCACCAACAUUUUAUAUGUUGACGCUUUUCAAAAUAGCAUGUAUUCUAAUGAACUCACUAAGCAGGUUGGCAGCGUUGGACUUUUGGCAUUUGUUAUAUUUUAUUUCCACCAUGCACAUUGUUAUUUUGGGAUAUAAUUUUUGCAAACAAACACAAUACUGUGAACCAUGUAUGUUGAAAUCCUUAAUGUAUGAUGAUGAUGAUGAUGGCUAUGUUUCAUUUAUAUACACUAAUAUGAUAUUACAAGAUGAAGUCAUUCACCUCCGGACGUUUCCGCCGUUCCGGUUCGGGGGUGUGACAGAAUCCAUUCCUCUCAACUCGGACAUCAAAGAGUUAUAUUGUUCCUUUAAAGCUAUAAAGACUUGUAGGUUAAACCAAUCCGCUUUCGGACAUAUUAGACAUUUUCCAGUACACAUGGUAGCCAUAGUUCCAUUUGACUCACCAAAGGCAAUGAAUCCUCUCAAAAGGAUUCACAGAUUGGCAUUCGAUAUGACUUUGGAUCUCAGCCUACCCCUCCCAUCCACUCUUCCAAACCACCCUUCAGAGUUUCAAUAUAACAUGCACACUCUCACGGGGAGUCUGCAGAUAAUCUACCCCCAUAUUCUUAGAAAGAUGAUGAAGGUAUAGAACAAAGUACCUUGAAGCACCCUGGGACACACCCACGAGUCAUUUUAGAAAUCCCUCUCGGUUCAACAUAAGCACAAUAAUGGGCACUUGUUUUUGAUUCCAAGCUUUCUGAAGCUAGAGUAGUCCCUCCUGCUUCGAAAGCCACAACUAGUCUGAUACAUGGUUCAGGUAAAGGACGAUCAAGUAUUUUUGAUAACGAUUGGUCUAAUUUUGUAGAUAGGGAUCAGUCUUGACAUCGGAAGCUUACUAGAGAUCAGGUUGAAUACAUGCUUAUUUCUAAGCGUCAACGUGCUCUCCGAAUUCGUCUUCCUUUCACGUUUCCAUCUGAUGAAAAAACUAAUCGGGCUUUCAAGCCUUCCAACGAAACCCUGAAGACUACUUCUAUAGGAUAUGUUCCUGACUCUACAAAUUUUUUGAAUGAUCCUCCUCCAAAGUUCACAAAUAAAGAAGCCUCAUGCUUCCUACUAACAAUGAUCUCUCCAAUGAGGUCAUGUUCGAAGAUGACAACACAAAAGUUGGUUCUAUUCUGAUCCCUAAUUCUUUCAACAUACUAAUUCCUAAUUCUUUCAACAUACUACAGAAGCCAUCCUCCUCGAAACCGUUUUAUGAUUUCGGUCUCUCCUCCUCCUCCUCGGAAUCCAAAAGAGAAGAAGAUAUUGAAUCCAACAAGCAUUCUUCUCCCAAAGUUACCUUGGAAAGCGAUGAAGGUAAUGAGGCUCAAGCUAAUCCAGUAGACAACUCCAUGCCUUCCAAACCGCAUAAUGAUGCCAACAAUGAUGAUGAGAAAACAUAUGAGAGUUCUACCUCGGACACAGGAUCUUCAAGUGAAAAUAUUGAAAAUCCUUUUGCCUUGUUAGAAAUCCGAGACAAUGUUGCCUUAGCUAUCUCCAAAGUUGAUUCCCUUGACAAGAAAGUCGCAGGCCUUGAUUUGAAGCUUGAUCAAAAGUUUACAGGUCUUGAUGCCAAGUUAUAACUUAUCUGUAAAUCUCUUUCCAAGAUCCAAGCUGCUGCUCCCUCGGAAAUUGACUGAGCCAAUAAUCUCGACCAACUCAUUUCCCUUCGCCUCAUGUACACAAUCAAAUAAGUUGAAAAAAAAUACAAUGAUAGUCUUGACCAUCAUAUUUCUACAACCACCAUCAUGCUCAAGAUUCAUGACUACAUGAUUAAUGCUACCAACAAACUCAUCAAGCAGACUCAUGUUUGUCAUGAGAAACAAAUUUAAUUUCUUGAAAAGGAGAUUUGUAAAAAGGAUGCAAUGAACAUGGUAAUGAAAAAGGUGCUAAUCAAGCUUAUUCUUGCAACUUGGAAUGUUGUGGAUGUUCCGAACAACAAGUUCGAUGAGAUGCUCGUUAGUUUGGAUGAAACAUUUACCCAUCUCAAAGCUCAAGCUCCUAAAACCGAGGCAUACGAUGCUUUCACCAAACAACUCAACACAAGUAUUCAACUAGUGUUUGAAAUAUUGGAGGGCCUCAAGAUUGGAUCCGUACUUGCAUCGGAGGGAGGGUCUUCCCAUGCAAGAGGGGGAGAAAGAGAAACAAAAAUUCAAUUGAAACCUGUCUCAGAUUUCAUGCUCCGAGAUGAAUCAAAUGAUGAUGAAAUUCUCGAGGUUGAAACUCUUGAACCUCUUGAAACAAAUGAUGAAGAAUAUGAAGACUUAACGAAAAAUGUCAUCAUAGGACUUCAAGCCACCAGGGAACAACUUGUGCGUGUCCUUUUGGAAGCAGAUAAGAUGAAGUGGUCCUCGGUUUCUUGGCCAUCAUAUCUAGCAGAAGAGUUGAAAUGAAGUCGUGAGAUGGCAAAGAUCAAGACUGAGAUUAUAAUUGAUGCAUUUCGAGCUACCCAGUCCAUGCUUCCACCAAUUCCUGCUCCAAGGAUCAUUCAAAUUGAUGAAGGUUCUCCUACCCAGGAACCUGAUGAUAUUCCUAAAGAGACUUUGAUUCCUAUUCCAUCAGAAAUUUUCAUCAUUGAUUUUGGUCAUCAAAUCAUCUCCUCCAUUUCAGGCACAAGUGAAAAUCCUCAAAAUAAAGGCAAAUAGGUUGCAAUAGAUUCGGAUAGCCAGGUGAGGACAUUUAGAAAGUUUGAGGGCUAGUUUCAGGAACAGAUGAAUCAAGCUUUGGAAGAAAGCAUUCAGAUUCAAGCGCUUAAAGACAACCUGAAUAUGAUGUUGGGCAUUUCUCCUCUUUUCCGAGAAGGAGUUAUUCAUGAUAUACACUUUGUGACCUUCAUGUACUAUGAUCUUCUGACACAAGAUGCUGACCAACUUGACUUGCCAAUCUCUCUACAUGGUCAUUUCUAUAUCAAGUACGCUCCUUUACAUCCAAAUGAUGAUCCUCAAAUCAUCAUCGAAAUUUAGCGUGAGAGAUUGAGAACCUUUUACCCUGUCAAUGCACGACCUCAAACGGAUGUUUGGUCUCGGAAGAGAAUUACCAAGAUCAUUGGAUAUGGUAACAAGUUUUGGAUCAAGUAAGGUCUUAAUUGAAUGAUGUACAUAUACUAUGUUUCUCAGAAUAAAGAAUCCACCAUCACCAUUACAGAUGCAAAUUUUCCUUCGAUCAACCCAAACGACAUUCUCACUUUAGCUGCUCACUUACGAGAUUGACAAAAAGUGAAUCAAGCAUUGGAGCCUACAAUGCUACAAUAAGCUUCCUGAAGGACUAUGUCACACCCCCAAACCAGAACAACGGAAACAUCUAGGGGUGGAUGGAGUGACUUCAUGUACAGUAUCAUAACAAUUGAAUAUAAUUGAAACAUAGCAACACAAACAUUCAUACAUUGAGGAUUCAAGUUUACAUUGUUUACAAAUCUUUGCUUGUUCAAAAGUUAAAUACAAGUAACUGAAAAAUAGAAAACAAGAAGUGGCGACGCCGACCCUCAUGAAGGGUUGAAUACAUGUCUACUGGUUUUCUGAGAAUACAAGUCAUUUUGAAAAGUGUCAAUGAUUAAGUUGGUGAGUUCAUAAGCAUUUUUGUGUGAGAAGGAUUUGCAACAUUUUCGUGUAAAAUGAUUUUUGUAUACUUUUAGAAAAUCCAAUGUUUUCUUAAAUAUAAUGUAUGUAUUUCCUUCAUAUAAUGUAUAUUUCCAGAAAAUCCAAUGUUUUCUUAAAUAUAAACUGUAGAUGUAUGUAUUUCCUUUGUAUAUUUUUCUUGUAAAAUGAUAAUGUAUGUCUCCAGAAAAUCCAAUAUUUUCUUAAAUGUGAACUGUAGUCUUAAACCCUAAGAACAUAAUGUAUAAGUAUUGAUGUACUGAACAAUAGUAUGUAGUUAUAUCUUUUUAUAAAACUAAUGAAGUGUAAGUUACCCCGUAAACCGAGUAGUAGCGCUAAUCCCUAUGUGAGCUAUUAUAACCAUACUUAAUACAACUAGUGGCCUGUACGACAUUCUUCAGGCAUCAAAGCUGAUAGACAUUUGCCACCCUAGACUUCCGGUCUAACUGUAACGAACAUCUUAGGUGCGGGGUUGUCAAUCCCGUAUAGAUCUAUACACAACGGUCUCACUCUCCCUCCAGGAGACUCUGGUUAUAAUGCAUGACUUAAGGUGUACUUUAGGUAAUGUACGUGAAGAGAGUGUGUCUCACAGGAGCAUUAACUGAUUUACGUGAACUAUGACUCAUUUUUCUUGUAAACCGAAAUAAUUAUAUCUUUGAAUAAUUAUAUGUAUCUUCUGAAAUGAAAGUAUGGUUUGUGACUUCUAAACUAUACCAAUUAUAGUUUAUCUUGUUUGUUUGAAACUAUUUAUAUAAUCUUUUAUAUAAAUAUGAAUGUGUAUUCUUGUCUAGUAUUAAAAUAUAAUAUCAAAACAUAAUAUCUUUGGGUUGUAACCCACCAAUUUAGUAAAUGAUUGUAAUGUAACCAUUUUUGCUAGAAAAGCUAUCUUUUAAUAAAAGUUUUCAAAAACCAUGGAGUCUUACAAGUCAAAAUUUUUUCUUAUGAUUUUAUAAAAUAGAUCAUGUUUGUUUUGUUAGCUUUGUAAUUCAAACUAAUAUAUAUCACAAUAAUUAUACAAAAACUAGUAUUAACCACAUGUUAUGCAAUUUUUUUUAUCUUUAACAUCAGAUGAAAUCAUGUAAAAAGUGUGAUAAACAAAAUUUUACUUGUAUCCCUCCCCCUCUUAAAACAUGAAAAAGCUUGAAAAUGUGUGUGUGUGUGUGGGGGGGGGGGGGGUAUGAACUCACCUUGAGUGGUUUUGUGGGUUAUUUGAGAAGAUGGUGUGAAGGUUUCCAAGCCUUACACUUGAAGGUGGUGGUUGAAAUUUCUUCACAAGAAUGCUAUCCUAAGAGUUUAACAUAUAAUAAUAUGUGGGUAAAUAUAAUGAAACUAACAUAAAUGUGUAUAAAUACACUAGAUUUGAAGGAAUACUUACCAAAUCUACGAAUGCACUUGAAGAUCUUUGAACUUAGAGGUUGGACUUGGUUAUUUGAGAGGAAAUGAUAUUAAUCAGUAAUUGAGGAUGGAAAAUGGUGGAGUUUGGGGUAUGAGUUGGAACUUAAGAUAAGGUGGUACAUGAUGGGAUGCUUACUUUGAUAACUGUGGGAUAAUAGCUUGGAAGUUCGUUGGGUAUUAGUCUACAUGUUAAACUGUUAAAAUAUAUUAUCACAAAAGUCAACUAUUCUUGUCUGUUUCCUUACCUAGACCGAAAUCACAUUUUGUAAGAGAUUAUAGGGAUGAUUUUGGCCAAAGUAAUGUCCCAUUAAGGGUGAUUUCGUGCAAAGUGUGGCCCAUUAAGGUGAUUUCGGUCCUAGGCUAUUACAUUGUUGUGUUUUCGGUCCUACCUUCUUACCAAAUGGUUAUUUCAGUUUAGAGGUCACCCACUAAGGGGUGAUUUCGGUAUUGGGGGUAUUUUGUUAAUGUGUGGUUUUGUUUAUGAUUUGUUGAUUUUCAAGGUUAAUUACGACAUGGUUUCCCAAGUGUGUGUGUAUAUAUAUAUANAUUAAUUUAUACAAUAAUUCCCUCUUUGUUUGUAAUAUUUUAUUGCAACAAACUACAUUGUGCUUGAACAUGGUUACAAGUUAGACCUUGCUUGAUCUAAAUUUUCAGGUUGUCACAUCUUCCUCCUGUUAGAGGGAAUUUCGUCCCGAAAUUCAUAUCUUGAACAAGUUCUUGGUAGCCCUAGGGAAAGGUUGUGGGUAAUUCUGUUUCAUAUGAUUCUCAUGUUCCCAGGUGAAUGUGGGUCCUUGCUUGACACUCCAGUGGUGUGACAACCCGAUACUUUUGUUGGAUUAGUGUCUAAGUCCAUAACUAUAACUGGUAUGUACUUGACCCGAUUUGGCAUGGUCCAUUUGGGUUGCAUGGCAUUGGAACAAUUGGAUAUACAAAAUGAGAAAAAUGAUACUUAUGAUUUAUAUUAAUAUAUUAUAAGUUCUAAUAUAUUAAUAUGAAAUCACAUUAUUUAAUUAGUAUUGAUCAAUAAUUAUUUUAGUGAUCAAAAGGAACUAAUUAAGUAUGGACUCUUAUAUAUAUAUAGGAUGAGCCAAGUUCAUUUAGGUUGGGCUAAGCUUUCAUGGAUAGUCCAUGGAGUGUUUAACCCAUGGAUCCUAUGGAAAUGAAAGGUCAUGGGUAUUAGGGUUUACAUGAAUGUAACCCUAAUCCUCCAUACUAUAUAAAGAGAUCUAUGGUUCAUGAAAUGAGUGCUAAGCACUAGUAUGUGUGCACAAGAGGGCAAAACCGAUUUUGGUGCAAGUAUCCUUCUUCUCAAGUUAUUCCAAGGGUUCUUGGUGUUGUGUGAACCAUUUGAGGUGCAACACUUGGGGCGCUAGGCUCUUAAAGGUUCAAGACUUCAAGCUCAAUCAAAAGGUAUGUCAUUCUACUAGAUUCUUGUAGUAUAGUUGCUUCAUAUUAUGCUAGUUAGGAUGAAACCUUGGAAUAUUGAAUAUUUACAUGUAUAAUAGAGAAAACAUAGAUCCAAGGUUUAUAGGGUUGCAUGUACCAUAUGAGUGUUAGAAUGCUCAAAACCCUUCAGUGGUAUCAAAGACUAGGCUUGUUUUCAUUUAUACUUGAUGCAAAUUGCUGAAAAUCGAAGUUUAUAUGCUGUCUGGACACCUGACUCGCCGAUUCCAUUUAGGGACUCGACAAGUCCAUGCCUAAAUUCAUACAACUCGUCAAGUUGGUUCAUGCACUCGGCGAGUUGGACCCCCUGACAACAUAUCUUCGAAUUUUAAGGCUGGAAUUGGUCUAGAAUCAUUACCUGAAACUGUUUUGAACUUAUAAAACCUGUUUUUGAUGUGUUAAUGAUUAUGGUAAACCAAUUUCAAGGUUGUUAUCCAAAUUUCAUGUUUUAUGUGUGUUUAUGUAAUUUUUGAAAUUGUUGAUAUGAUUGUUCAUACACUUAUGAGUUUUGGUAGAUCGUAGGAAUUAUUUGCAAAUUGUUUGUUAGUUAAUUCUUGAUCUAAAUGUUUUUUAAUGGAGUCCAUAAUUUGUCCUCAAGUUAUGGAUUGCCAAAAGUCAUUUCUUUUAAAGAUACAUUAAAAUGCAUAGGUUACACAAUUGAAGAGUGUUUUUGUUUUAUGAAGACCAUAGCUUGUCCUCAAGUUAUGGAUGUUCAAGAGUAUCUUCAUUAAAGUUUUUAAAACCUUAAUUAAACUCAUAAGUUAUGAAAAUCCAAAAGUUUUUGAAUAGUUCAAAACUUGCCCUUAAGUUUUGGAAUUUUUAAAUUUUCCCCUCAUGAAUACUUUAAUUCCAAGUUAAACACUUAGAAUUUUAGAAGUUAAAAUUCCACCCUUAUACUAUUAUAAUUUUAAUNAGUCAGUCUUUCCGUUAGUAGGCCUCAUUCAUGAAACCGGUCUAUAAGGGGGGUAUAAGGUUACUUCCUAUAAAAUGGCAGUUUAAUGGGUGUCCACUCUCACCCACCGCUUCCUUGACUAGUGGAGGGUCGUUAGCCGAAUGGGUAGGAUAAGACUCUAAUUCUCCCUUCAUUAUAAGUAUAAUGAUAAAUAUAAAGUAAAAAAACCUUUUAUAAAUUCCCAAUCUUAGUUACUUUAGGAAAAUGUGAUUUUGGUGCUAACCCAUGAAAUUACACUUUGCACUUUGCUUAAGUCGAUAGUGGAGCGCGUGUGGUUAACUGACACACUAGCUUGGAUUUAACAAGGUAGACAAAGGGUAACUUAAUGUUUAUCAUAGGAUCGGUGGAGCGCGUGUGGUUAACCAACACAUCGAUUCAGUGAUAAAAAUUAAGAGUACCAAGUAUAUUUGCAUGGUUAUUCAUACCUUGUUUUGUGAUCCUCGACAUCCCAGUCAUAAAACUUGAGAGGGAACAAUUGAGAUUGAAACAUUACAUUGAAAAGUUCAAUGAAUCUCAAAAGAUCUAGGAGUUUCAAAUCCAAUUAAAACCUAAUAAAUUAUUUCGUUUUUCAUGGUGGAAAUUGGUGAAUCGUCAUUCGCCUACCUUCAAAUAUUUUAUAGCUUGGAUUACGACAUCCUUCUUCCAAGUUAUAAAAUAUUGUGUUGGGUCCUAGCCUUAAUAUUUCAUAUUGGGUGUUUUAUUAAGGACUUAAAUCAACUAACUUGAAUUUCUCCCAUUGUAGAUGUCUGGUUCAGACAACUAUGAUCUUCCUAAAUGUCUUGGAACAAGCUUUCCUAAUGAAGAUGAUUUUCUGUGGUUGGAUAAUGGAAAUCAUACUUCUCUUCCUCCACCUCCUUCAAUUAUUCUCCCUAUCCUACAAGUUCUUAAAUAGUUCAAUGUCACUCAAGCCCUAUUCACAUCUUGGAGAUGAAGUCACAUAUUGACAAGUCGGGCGAGUUGGGUGUCAAAGGCUUGAGGAAGUUGGUUGUUGACUAGGUUAUUUAAUCACUUUCUAUGUCACAUAGUGAGUUCUUUAAGGACUGCUAUGUAACAGACUAUGACAUGACCCUUAAUGAUCUUACCUAUUUGCUUGAUGCUGCUGAAUCAACAAUGAUUUGGAGCAUUGGUAAAGCAAAUUUGAUUGGAAGAUCUACUUCCCAAACUUCCAUGGACAUUGACAAUGGUAACAUUGGAAAUCUAGAAAAGAUUUCUCUACCCAAUGGAAAGGGAAUGGCCAUAGUCAAAUCGGUUGGCCAAAUGAUAAAGAGAAAGGCUAAGUCUGAGAUAGUCCCGUGUACCAUUCCCAAAUGGUCAAUAUGUUUCUAUUGCCAAUGGAAGGGGCAUUGGUUGUGAAGCUGCCUUGGCUACCUGAAAGAUCUGAGAGAUGGAAGAAUCAAAAAGUUUGACUCUGCUUUAGGUAAGUCCACUAUCUAACUCUGUUAAGUUCCUAAUUAAUGAUUCUUAAUACAAAAUGUGAAUCAGUUACAUUUUGAUGUUUGGCAGGAUCAAGCAAAGGGAAGGAAACUUAAAGGAAGAGUAUGCUAAAUCUGAUUGCGAAGAUGGAUUUCAAUCGCAUGGUUCGAAGAUCGGAUUCUUGAGCUACUACUUAGGAGUUAUGAUAGAUUGCCAGGACAUAUGUAAUAGCAUAGUUUUCAUUUAAAGUUGCAUUGUAAGGAAAAAGUUUUUUCCGCAUUUUAUAAAUAAAUAAAAUUUUGUUUUAUUUUAUUAUAUCUCCUUGCAAUGAAAUUUAUGAAAAAUUGAUGUUUGUAUGUUUAUAGCAAUAUUGGAAAUAUGAAUUCGAUUCUUUCAUUUGUGGUAGUGUCUAAAUCUACCAAAUAAGGAAAGAUUCUCAUCACCCAAGUUUCAAUUAGACCGAAACUUGGAAUCAUGCAAGUUGUAUAAUGAAUGAGAAUUUUCAUCUUUGGAAUAUGAAGACUAAUUCCUUGUUCACAUGUAUAUGUGAGUCAAGUCAAGGACUAAGGGAUCUAGUACACAUUCUUGUGCACUGGUCAAGUCCACCAUAAAAGAUCGAUAAGACUAUUCAUCAUGAUUUACUAAAGUUUAGUAAAUAUGGUUAUACUUACAAGUUUAAGUAUAAUUCUGAAGCAAUGGAAAAGUUUCGAUGUAUGGCAUAUCAAAUGAGAAGAAUCAAAUUUGGCAGAAAGAUAAAAGUUUCUCAAAUCUGAAAAGAUGGGAGAGUACUUUAGUAUCAUGUUUUAUGAUCAUGUUAAUGAUUAAGAAAUCAUAUCACAAUUAGUCCUCUAAGGACAUCUUAGUUCAUUCCUAUGACUAAGAAGAGGAAUCUUGAAUUGUUGAAAUGGUUAAAUCAAGAAGAUGAGUCAUACUUCAAUCCAAAACAAUUCUUAGAGUCAUACUCUAAGAUUGUAACUUGAGUGACAUAUCUUAAAGAAAGGUUUAUAACACUUGUCAAAUGUAAGAGUAAAAUGUGUUCUACUCUAGUACAUUUGAAAUUGGUAACUUGUGAUGUUUUGGAUAAAACAAAGACCAACUAAGGCCAAUUGUGUGAAGUGUUUGUCUUGAUAAAGAAUCCAUAAUAUCUCUUCAAUAUUUUUCUAUCAAGGAGUGGCUAUUGGCAAGAGAGUCUUAAAGAUCCUGAAAGAGUUUCAAGAUCUAAUCAAAAAUAAAACAUGUAGUUUAUCACUAGUACACGACUUGAGGUUUAUAACCUAUCGUGUUUAUUCCUAUUCCUGUGCCCAUUCUAGUUAAAGUUGGCUUUGUAUAUGAGUUCUGAGAGUUUUCAAUUGGUUGCAUAACAACUUGGAAGCAAUGGCAGGCCCUUGUGCUGCCAGGUGGCAAGAAGUUAAGACUGCACAAGUUCAAUCCAUAAGAGUUUGGAUUUGUCACUAACCUUGUCUUGUGAUUAUGGUUUUGACAAAUUCACAUGGAUAGGAACACAUACACCAUAAAAUCUAAGUGUCAUAAGGUUUCUCUCUGAUUCAUGAAAAUGAUGGUGAGGAAACGCUCUCACUAAGUAGAUUUUAAGUAGAUAGCAAUUAUGAUAUUUACAUUCUCAAAGUCGUUAAUGAAGCGUGUGUGGUUAACCGGCACACUAACAUGGACUUGUUAGAAAUGGAAAAGGUCUAAACAAUUAUGACUAUGUUAACGACAUCCCUUUUCGUAGUUCUAAAAUUGUUUAGACACACAUGUGUGCUAUCUUAGGAAAUAUGUAUGAUUUUGAUAAAGUUUUAUCAAAGCAUCUAGUAUUAGAAAUUUGAACUUUGGUAAGAAAGUCAAUAAAGUAUUGAUUUCUAGAAGUCCAGUUGAUUUCUGAGUACAUGUCAAAGCUAGUGGGAGCAUAAGUGUUAUGCUAAUAAUCAUCGUGUUAGUGGGAGCAUGAUAAUUAUAAUAAGUGUUGCAAGUUAGCAAUGUUAAUUAUAGAAAACAAAAGUUUCAAUUGGGAAAAAGUCAUUUUUCUAUAAUUAAGGAAGAGGAAAUUAUACUUCAUUUCAAAUCUAAAAGCUUAGAUCGUGAGAUUUUAAUCAAAUUUAGUCAAUUAUAUAUAUAAAUGUUAUGUUGGAAUGGUUCAACAUAAGUAAAUUCUAUAUAUGGGAACAUUAUUUGCGUUCUAAAAUUCGAUUAUGAUUNUAUAUAUAUAUAUAUAUAUAUAUGAAUGUUAUGUUGGAAUGGUUCAACAUAAGGAAAUUCUAUAUAUGGGAACAUUAUUUGCGUUCUAAAAUUCAAUUGUGAUUACGGCAUCCGUUUUCGUAAUCUAAAUUAUAAGAACAUGGCAAAUAGAAAAAGAAAUAUUAUAGCAAAAGACUAGUCUAGUAUCAUGUCUUUAUGUGAGACAUCAUGAAUCGUGUCUCAUAUGCUUCAGAUAUAGGAUCGAUUGCAUGUGCUAUAAUAUUCAUCUGUUCUAAAAUUUUCCAAAUGCUUAGGGAAUUAAGAGGGAAAAUGUACUAGAACUGGAUAUGACUAAUUUGAUUAAGCAAUUGUCGAGGACAAUCUAAGUUUUACCAAAGACUGGUUGCUCAGGGACAGUUAGAAGUAUGGUGCAAAUUUUUGGAGAUGACCAUAUUGACAUAUUCUGAAAAGAGGCAACUCUUGUUCAGAAGUGAUAGUCAAAAUAGGAAUAUGAAAAUGUUCCUAUAGUUGGAAGUUAUUCAUUAAAUCUGUGUAAUAUUUGGAAACUUAAUGCAAGAAGGAUGUUCAAAGCAAUGCACUUUGAACUUGAGACUUCGUUUCCAUGGAAUGAUCUCCAUUGGAAUACUCUGUAAUGUCUGUUGACAAGUCUUUGUGACUUUGUGCAUAGUCAUUACAGUAGGAUCAAUGCAUAUAAGUUUAGAAUCUGAUAGAUUUCGGUAAAUGGUAGGAAUUUAGAAUUCUUACAUUUAAGGGAAGGAUUUGGGAUUGUGAAAUGAGAAUCAUUGGAAUUAUGUUUAAUUGAUCUAUUCCAGAAAGUAAGGAUCAUAGAAAACCAUAGUGUGCAUACUUGGUGUAUGGCAUAACUAUAGUUUGGAUAAACUUAGUGUGCUUGCUUAGAGCAUAGCAUGACUAAUAUUUUGAUUCAAGUAUAAAGUUGAUGAUUUGAAACAUUAUGCAAUGAAUAAUGUGUAAUCAAUAUGGUGAUAAAUAAAAGGUGUUCUAUUUAUAUUCAUAAGUUCUGAGACCAUAUUAGAUUUGAAAAAAGUGUGUCAACAAUUAAGUUGGUGAGUUAAUAAGCGUUUUUGUAUAAGAAAUGUAUGCCUUUUUGUAUAAAGUAACUGAGUUCGUUUCAAGAAAAUCCAAUAUUUUGCAUAAAUGAAUAGUAGUUUUAAAAGUUCCAAAAACCGGAAUGAGUAAGUAUUUCCCAUACCAAAAAUAGUGUAGGUAGAUUUAUAUAUGUAUAUUUAACCACUAAGGCAUUUGAUAGCCCCGUAAACUGGAUGUUUUAAUACUUCAUAUGUGAGUUUUAUAACCGUACUAUUGACCCAGACUUCCUGUAACAACAUUCUUUAGGCGUUGGAAUGAUAUGACGUUUGUCACCCCAGAUCUGCCGGUCCAACUGUAGCUAAUAGUUUAGGUGCGAGAUUGUCAAUCCCGUAUAGAUCUAUACACAAGUAUCACGCUCUCACUACAGGAGAUUAUGAUUUAUAACAUAGGACUUGAAAUGCUUACUUGAAAGUACGUGAAGUAAAUGUCUCACAAAAGUUAGUAUCAAAUAGAUUUACGCAUGAAAAGUCCAUUUUUCUUGUAAAUAUAAGUAUAUCCUUUUUAUAGUGUUCAUAGAGUGUAAAAUAUCAUAAAUAUCUCGUAAACUAUACCUAUUAUAGUUUUUCAAAAGUGUGUUUCAUUUGAAUGAUAAACUUUGGAGAAUUACUAACUUUGCAUGUAAAGUAUAGCAUUCGUAAUAACGUUAUUUUACUUAUUUAACAUUUAUACAUAAAAUGUAGAUAAAGCAUUAGAGACUGUAUGUAACGAUUCGCAUUUUAACAUAAGUUUUUCUUGCGUUUCACUUGUAUUCCCCCCCUAAAAUAUAGUAAAAAUGUGAAAAUAUAAGGGUAUGAACUCACCUGGUAAGUGUGAUGAUUUGAAGAAAAUGAGAUUUUUCUCAGGCAGCACUUCGAUCGGAAAGCAGGAAAUUUCUCGGGAGUUUCGGACCUUCGGACCUUCAUCAGAGUUUGGAUACGUAAUUGGGGCGUCGGGGUAGUUUCGAGAGGCUCGAGAGUGUGAAAAUAUGGGAGAGAUGUUGUGAAUAAGCAAAGAAGUUCGGAAGCCUCACAUCCCAUUUUAUUGUUGUGGGAAUCGACCUCGUACGUUGGGCGUACUCGCGUAUGCGGGGUGUACGUCAUGCAUGACGUCUUCAUCGGAUACUGGACUUCGGAUGGGAUGGGAUUGAAGGUAGUAGGGAGACGUGGUCGAUCCGAGGCCUAGCAUUGAGUACGCCGGGUGUACCCUUGUACGCCAUAGCGUACCCCCUUGCUUUGUGUUCCUCAAUCUUCUAAAAUGCGUAACUUUUGCAUACAAGCUCCGUUUUUGACGUUCUUUAUAUCCACGCGUAGGUGAGAAUAUAAUCUACAACGUUCAUUUAGACUUUGUUGGCAAAUAUUGAAUUUAUUUUAAUUAUAUAUUUUUAAUAGGCCGAGACAGGAAAAGUCCGUAAAAAAUUCAUAACUUCUUCAUCCGAUGUCCGUUUUCGUCUGUCUUUUUACCGUUGUACUACUAUUGUAGAGAUAUUCAAUUCUCGUUUAGGUUGUGUCGGCUAAAUAUCGCUCAAUCUUUAUUUCGAGUUUUUAACUGUCUACUGCUAUUCCGAAACUUAGAAAAAUCACAGCUUCCUCAUACGAAGUCAGAUUUGGACAUUCUUUUUAUGUACGUUCAUGGUUUAACCUAAUCUAAGACUUUCAUUUAGAUUCCUAAGGCUAAAAAGUAUUUUAUUGAAAUUUCACUUUUCACACUUAACAGUGUUUUACCAAUUUUGACGCGGAUCUUGAUUGGUCUUAACUUCUUCAUUAUAACUCGGAUUUGAGUGUUCUUUAUAUUUCUGAAAACCUUGACACGAUAUCUAUCAUUUUAUGUAUCCCAAUUGAGACUUUUGAACAUUUCAUUUCUAGUCCUAUUUCUAUUUAUUUAUUAAUUCAAAAAUAGAUUACAAUACUUGACUUAGGUCAUUACAUUGACUUGAAAUAUCGGGUUGUCACAUCAUCCCCCCGUUAGAGAGAAUUUCGUUCCGAAAUUUAUUCUUAGAUAAGUAUUUAUGGACUAGGGAAAAGAUGUGGGUAUUUUUGUUUCAUCUGAUCUUUGUGCUCCCAGGUUUAUUUAGGUCCUCGCUUUGCAUUCCAGCGGACCUUCACAAUGGGUAUGCGACUUUGUUUUGUUCUUUUAAUUUCCAUAUCCAUGAUUUCUACUAGUUCUUCUACAAAGUGGAGACUCUCAUUGAUUUUGAUUUCGUCUUGAGGGACGACGAGGGUCUCAUCGAACAAGCACUUCUCUAAGUUUGACACAUGAAAGGUAGGAUGUACGUUAUUGAGUUCCUGCGGUAAUCGAAGCUUGUAUGCUAUCGGGACGAUCCUGGCAAGGAUCUCGAAUGGUCCGAUAUACCUUGGAUUUAGUUUCCCACGUUUUCCAAAACGUAUUAAUCCCUUCUGGGGAGAGACCUUCAAUAGCACUCGGUCCCCAACCUGAAAUUUCAAGGGCUUCCGUCUUUUAUCUGCAUAACUCUUUUGUCUGUCUCUUGAAGCUUUUAGUCGUUCCCAAAUUUGGACAAUCCUUUCGUUCAUUUCCCUUAUGAUUUUCAGGUGUGUGAGAGUGUUAUCAGGUACUUGUCCUUUAGCUAGUUGCGUAUCACCCACUUCAGCCCAACACAGAGGUGAUCUGCACUUGCGGCCAUAGAGGGCUUCGAAUGGCGGAACCUUGAUGCUAGUGUGAUAACUAUUGUUGUACGAGAACUCGACUAGCGGUAAAUGGGUAUCCCAUACUUUACCAAAAGCGAUCAUACAAGCUCUUAGCAUAAUUUCCAAAGUUUGAAUGGUCUUCUCAUUCUGACCAUCGGUUUGUGGAUGGUAAGAGAUACUCAUGUCUAGUCUCGUCCCUAGAGAUUUUUGUAGUGACUGCCAAAACCGUGAGGUGAAUCUACUAUCUCUGUUGGAGAUAAUGGAUAUUGGCACACCAUGCAGUCGCACAAUCUCCCUGAUGUAUGUUCGAGAUAGUUUCUCCAUCUUGUUAGUUUCCUUUAUUGGUAGGAAGUGCGCGGAUUUGGUCAAUCUGUCGACGAUCACCCAUAUGGUGUCAAGUCCACCCGCUGUUUUGGGUAACUUGGUUAUGAAAUCCAUGGUUAUCUUCUCCCACUUCCACUCGGGUAUUUCAGGUUGUUGUAACAAUCCCGAGGGCUUUUGGUAGUCUACUUUGACUUUGGCGCAAGUUAGAAACUUGCCUACAUAGGCAGCAAUUUUGGCUUUCAUGUUCGGCCACCAAUACAAUUUCUUGAGGUCCAGAUACGUCUUGUCUGAACUGGGAUGCACGGAGUAUCAAGUCUUAUGAGCCUCAUUCAUGAAAAUGUCUCUGAAUCCAUCAAACUUCGGUGUGUAGAUUCGAUUCAUGAAGUAACGCACUCCAUCACCCUUGAGUUCAAGAUUCUUAUCCAUUGCUCUUAAGGCUUUGCCAGCCACGUUUUCGGUUUUUGAGGCUUCCAUUUGAGCUUCCUUGAUUUUCAUGGAUAGGUGUGAAUGGAUCGUCAUGGUUAAGGAUUUCACUCAGCGGCCCGAGUAUUCCUUUCGACUGAGAGCAUCAGCUACUACAUCAGCUUUUCCCGGAUGAUAACAAAUCUCGUAUUCGUAAUCGCUCAGUAGUUCAAUCCAUCGUCUCUGUCUCAUGUUGAGUUCUUUUUGGUUGAGAAUGUGCUGAAGGCUCUUAUGAUCGGUGAAGAUUGUGCAUUUCAUGCCGUAGAGAUAGUCCCUCUAGAUCUUUAGGGCGAGAACGAAUGCUCCUAGUUUGAGGUCGUGGGUAGUGUAGUUGACUUCAUGCGUCUUGAGUUGUCUCGAGGCGUAUGCGAUGACCUUUACUCGUUGCAUUAGAACACAUCCAAGACCUUGGUUUGAUGCAUCGCAGCAGACCACAAAGUCUUCUGUUCCUUCUGGCAAAGAUAAUAUAGGUGUGCUGCAUAUGGCUUGUUUCAGUGUUUGGUAUGUAGUGUCUUGCUUUUCUCCCCAGUUGUAGGUUACACCCUUCUGAUUCAGGGCGGUAAGUGGUUUCGCAAUCUUUGAGAAGUUUUGUAUGAAUAUUCGGUAAUAGCCAGCAAGGCCCAAGAAUUGUCGGAUUUCAGUUGGAGUUAUUGGAGCCGAUCAGUUCUCAAUUGCCUUGAUUUUGGAAGGGUCCACGUGUAUCCCUUCUUUGCUGACCACAUGACCAAGGAAAUCUACUUUCCGAAUCCAAAAUUCUCACUUUGAUAAUUUUGCGUAUAACUUCUCUGCCCUUAAUGUUUCCAAGACCUACCGGAGGUGUUGACUAUGUUCUUCUUUACUCUUCAAAUAGAUGAGUAUAUCAUCUAUGAAAACGAUCACAAAUUUGUCCAGGAAAGAACAACAUGCUAGGUUCAUUAAGUCCAUGAACACCGCCGAUGCAUUUGUUAAUCCAAAGGGCAUCACUACAAACUCGUAGUGACCAUAACGAGUUCAGAAUGCCGUCUUGGGAACAUCUCCUUCCAGGACCCUCAGCUGAUGAUACCCAGACCUUAAAUCGACCUUUGAGAAGUAGCGUGCUCCUUGGAGUUGGUCGAAUAGAUCGUAUAUGUGCGGUAGAGGAUAUCAGUUCUUGAUUGUGAGCUUGUUUAGUUCUCGGUAGUCGAUGCACAUGCGCAAAUAUCCAUCCUUCUUCUUCACGAAUAGGACUGGUGCUCCCAAGGGUGAGAAGCUCGGCCUAAUAAAUCCUUUAUUGAGUACCUCGUUUAAUUGGCUAGAUAAUUCCUGCAUCUUUACCGGUGCUAGAUGGUACGAUGAUUUUGCUACUGGGGUAACUCCGGGAAUCAAGUUGAUUCUGAACUCGACUUGACGUUCUGGUGGAACUCCUGGAAGAUCUUCAGGGAAGACGUCGGGGAAAUCGCAGACUUCUGGAAUGUCUUUGAUAUUGUUUGUUUCUUUUUCCUUAUCUACUAUGUGGGCUAGGAAAGCAAGGUAUUCCUUGCGCAAGUAUUUUUGGGCUUUGACGCAAAAGAUGAUUUGUAAAUUGGUUCCGGGUUUGUCACCAUAAUUGAUAAGAGUUUCUCCAUUUGGCAGAUUAAGGCGAACGACCCUUUCAUGACAAAGUAUAUUGGCAUGGUGAAGGAUUAACCAAUCCAUACCGAUCAUGACAUCAAAGCUUCUUAUAGUGAUCGACAUUAGAUCGAUUUGGAACGAGUGUUCAUUUAAAUCUAGCAUGCAGCCUAUGUACAUAUUGUUUGUGCUUUCUGUUUUACCGUUUGCCAUUUAUAUUGUAAUAUCUUAUUAAGUGAUUGGGGGGUUUUGUUUAAGUAAGUGUUUGAAUUCAUGGCUCACGAAACUCCUCUCCGAACCACAAUUAAAGAGUAUGCAUGCAUAAGCGCUAUUGAGGAGAAACGUACCCGUAAUCACCGUGGGAUCAACUAUUGCUUCGUUCUGCCCUAUUGCCAGCACUCUUCAUACGCCGUCAGCAUUCCUUGCCUUAUGGAAAUCUCUCUUGUAGUGCCCAGCUUCACCACACCCAUAACACGCCUGGCCCACACCGACUCCAGGAACUUGGGUGAUUGGACGUGUCGGUGUCUUGCAGAAACGGGCAGUGUGCCCUUUCUUGUUGCAAUUAUUACAGUGCAUCUCCUGGCAGUUUCCGUUGUGAUGGAAAUUGAAUUUUCCAUACUUUGGUAUGUUUCCAGCAUAUUAGUUUGCUAGUGUAGGGGUAACUGGAACAAUAGUGGAAGCAGUAGCGGCAUGAACCGCCACUAUCUGCUGUUUCUUGGAAGGUUCUUGCAAAGAUUGACCCUUCCUCUUGUUCCAAAACUUCUUGUUGUUGUUGUUGUUGUUGUUGUUGUUGUUGUUGUUGUUGUUGUUGUUGUUGGUAUUGUUAUUGUUGUCGUUGCUUUCUAUGGGUUGCUUCGAAAUAGCAGUCAUGAAUCCUUGGCGGACACCAUAGUCAACGAGGGACUGUGCCAGCUGUUUGGCACUAUCGAAAGUAACUGGCUUGGAAGCUAGUACACUUCCUUGAAUCUGGGGUGACAGUCCCCAGAUAUACCUCUCGAUCUUCUUGCUCUCUAGAGAAACCAUUCCUUAGCAAAGUAUUUCUAUGUCACUAAACCUAUUGGUAUAGGUCGUGAUGUCCGAGUCUACCAUAGUAAGGCCCCAAAGCUCUUGCUCGAGCUUUUGUACUUCACCUCUUGGACAGUACUCAUGCAUGCACAUUUGCUUCUGGUUUUCCCAUCCCAUGGAGUUAGCCACUACCAGAUUUUGUGACUUGACGUGGCUAUUCCAGCAUGUUAGGGCUCGUUCGGAGAAAGUACAGGCAACAAAUUUUACUUUGCUCCCUUCUUAGCAUGAGCAGAUCUCGAAUACUGCUACCAUUUUCUCUAUCCAUUGGGAUAGAGCCAUAACUCCUCUAGUCCCAUUAAAGGAUAUGGGUUUGCUAUUAGUAAAGUCCUUGUAAGUGCAUUCCCCGGAACGACCCUGGUGUUGGCCAUUGGUAGAGCUAUUUAUUCCUCCUCCCGACCCGUUGUUACUCAUUUGUUCCAUCGCUGCUGUUACGACAACCUGAAAGACAACAUUGUCCAUUGAUAGGGGUGGUGGUGGAGGAGGUGGUGGUCUUCCUGUAGUAUUGAUGCGUUGCGGAUUCCUUCUUGGCGGCAUGAUUCUGCCAUAAGUUAAAAGACGAAUUCUUGAUAAGUCUUCAAAAAUGGUUAUGGAAAGUCUUAGUAUUAUAUGCUUUACGUUCCGAACAUUACCAAAUUUUGUAAGUUAAUCGUGAAAUGGAAACUUACGACAAUAAGUACAUGAUUUCCUUAGUAUUUUAAGAACUUAAUGAAAUACCCAAUGAAAUAAUAAAUGCGUGUCAAUAGCAUUGAUAUUAAUAUUCGAUACAUCGAUCAGGAAAAUUUGACCUUAACACAGGUCUAGAGUAUAUCAAUGAAAAUGGGAAAAUUUGACCGCAUUCAGACCCUCGAACCACAAUCCACCAGGUUCACAUACAUAAAGGAAAGAGUAGCACCAACGCUCACUCGAUAAGUCUAUACAUAGUGCAAGAAGUAUGCGCUCUACUCCGAGCGGGUGGUAUGCUGAGGACCAUGGUAUGUUUUGAUGGAAGUUUCAGCUCGAGUUACUUGACGUUCAGCCUCGAUGACACGUCUCUCCAUUACGGAUUGGUUUCUCCGGAACUCGAUCACCUCGACUCUAGCAGUGGUAAUGUCUUUCUGAAGGGAAAAUGUGUGUUCUAUUGUUUGAUCAUGUUCUUUGUCCAGGCGAUGAAGACAUACUUCAGUGAUUUGAGUAGUGGCACCAACGUCCAUGAUUUGGUUGUCGUUGACCUUUGUUUGCUAGCCUUGGUUGGCGAUGCGACAAACCAUGAUAGGGAGUGCUCUGUUAGCAGAACCUCUGUUACUGCAGUUAUAAAAACCUUGUCUUAUGCCGUAGGGUGGGCAUUUUCCUUGUUCCCUGCUCCAUCGUUUAAGAUCUACAGCCCAGCGGGGGGCCGGGACCUAAAAGUUCCGUCGGAGAUUUGGUACUACGUAGGGAGGAUUAUAGACCUCGGGUUCUGAGUCAGUGCCCUCAUCACCUGCUUCCUCUUCUUCCUCUUCCUCUUCUAGAUAUUCCUCGGGAAUCUCUUCGGGAUCCUCUUCUGGAUCCUCCUCGACCCAACCUCCAUUGCCCUGGUUUGGGUAGUAGGGAUCCCCAAGGAUAUGAAAUCCUGCCAUUUCGUCUGAUCGAGAAUAGAUAUAAGAGAAUUAUAUAUAGAAUUUGAGUGUAAAGAGAAAAUUUUAUGAUAAGAUCUACACUGAGUCCUUGUUGGAUUAGUGUCUAAGCCCGUAACUAUAUUUGGUAGGUACUUGACCCGGUUGUGCAUGGUCCUUUUGGGUUACCUUCACCAUAGCAACUUGAUAGGGUAAUUUAUGGAGAUAGAGAGGUUAUUGUGGUUUAUUAAUAUGUUCUAAGAAUAAUAUAUUAAAGGAGAAAUCAUGUUAUUUGAUUAAUAUUAGUCAUAGAUCAAUUAGGAAUUAAUUUGGUGACUAAAAGAGAUUAAUUGAAGAAAGGGGAAUUAAAAUGCCAAUUGUGUGAUAGUUGUAUUUUGGGCUGGGAAACCCAAUAGAUUAAGGGAUGAACGAAAUUAUGAUGGGAGCCCAUCAUAUUUUUGUGCAUGGCCUUAUUCCAAAAGGUUCCAUGGGCUGCUUAAUGUUUAAGCUGUCCAUUAGGGAUUUGACUAAAACCCUAGUUGCUCACAGUAUAAAUAAGACCCCUAGACUAUAGAAAUCGGCCACUGCUUCUAUAAGAAACCUAGAGCCGAUUUUGUGUGCCUCCUCCCUCUCUCAUAUACUACCCUCUUGCUAUUUGGUGUUUGUAAGCCAUUAGAGGAGUUACACUUGUGACUCUAAGCAUCAAAGACAAGAAGAUUCAAGCAAGCAACAAGAGGUAAUCUUCUAGAUUUGUUUUGGUCAUUAUAAUUUUGAAUUAUUAUCACUAGAUCUAGGGUUAGAAAGUCUUGGAUGAAUGCAUGUACAAUAGAGAAACCUAGAUCCGAGCAUUAGGGUUUGCGUGUGCACAUAGGAAUGUUCUUGUGGAUCAAACCUAUCAGUGGUAUCAGAGCUUUGUCUGGUUUCAAUUGUAUUUGAUGCUAUAUGUUUUGAUCUUGCUUGGAAAAUCGUUUUUUGUGCAAUCUGCUUGACUGACUCAGUGAGUCCUAUUGUGGACUCGAUGAGUAGGAUGAACUCGACAAGUGCAUAAGGGGACUCGGCGAGUCGAAGCGUCAGACAGAGGGAUUUUCGGGAUUUAUUGCUAUUUUGAUGAAGGAUAAUUGCUAAAAUCGUUUUCUUAUAAUAAAAUCCGAAUUUUAUUUUUUGUAUGUGAUUCUCCUUACCAAAACAAAAGAUAAUUUCUAAUUAUUUGAAUAAUAAUUUCCUUAUAUGAUAAAAGUUGAUUAUUAAAAUUAUUUUGGUAAAUUAUCUUGUAAAUAAUCUUGAUUAGGUCAAAUUUAGAUAAUCAUUAAAUUAAUUGUUUAAUUUAAAUUAUUUGCUAUUUGAUCCUUGUGUUUUGAAAAGUUCAAAACUUUUCCUUAAGUUUUGAAAUUUAAAUUUAAGAUUAAAAUGUUUAAUUUGAACUAUUUAAAUUUCAAACCCUAGAAUUUUACAAGUUUAAAAUUCAACCCUAUACUUUAUAAUAUUAUAAGAUUAAUAUAUAUAUAUAUAUANNNNNNNNNNNNNNNNNNNNNNNNUAUAUAUGUAUAACUUAAAAUGCUAGUCUUACCGUUAGUAGACCUAAUUUACAAAGCCGAUCUAUUAGAGGGGUAUAAGGUUAUGGCCUAUAAAUUGGGCGUUUAAUGGGUGUCCACUCUCACCCACUACUUCAUUGAUUGGUGGAGGGUCGUUAGCCGAACAGGUAGGAUAGGGCAACCCUUUCUCAUUAAUAAGUAUAAUGAAUUAUUAAAGUAACUAAAUGUUUUUACAAAAAUUCUCAAUCUUAGUUACUUUAGGGAAAAGUGAAUUGAUGCAAUUCCAUGAAAUUACACUUUGUACCGUUGAUAAGACGUUAAUGGAGCGUGUGUGGUUAACCAGCACACUAAUUGGGCUCUAAGCAAAGGUGGAAAAGGGUGACUCAUUGUUUGUCAUAGUUCGAUGGAAUGUUUGUGGUUAACCGACACAUCGAAUAGGUGACUGUAACAAUAAGGGCACCAUGUAUAUUUUCAUAGUUAUUCACACCCACUUUGUGAUCCUCAGCAUCCCAGUCACAAACUAGGGAGCAUAUCGAGAUUUAAACAUGUAAUUGAAAAGUUCAAUGAAUCUCAAAAGAUCUAGGAGUUUUCAAUAUAUUUAAAACUUAAUCUUGUUUUCGUUUUACAUGAUGGAGAAUUAGUGAAUCGUCAUUCACUUACCUUCAAAUUAUUUACUUGUUAGAUUAGAACAUCCCUUUUCUAGUAUGUAAAUAAUGUUGUUGGAUCCUAACCCUAAUUUCUCAUUUGGGUGUUUAAUUUGGGAUUCAUUUCUAAUCAAACUUUGUCGAACAUGAACAACAACAACGCUUCCAGCUCGAGUUCCCCCGACUCAUUCUCACUCAUGAACUUGUGUGGGAGGGUGAUAUUCGACUGAAACAAUUUCAACGAUUGGAUCCAUAACAUAAGAAUGGUCACCCGUUAUAAGGAUAAAGAGUAUGUCCUUGAUAAGGAGCUGAAGGAGAUUGGCAUGAACACUGCCACUCCCGAAGAGAUCGGUACCUUUGAGGCCCACAAGCGUGAUGCCAUGAAAGUCCAUUGCAUCAUGCUAGUGACCAUGACUUCCGAACUCCAAAAGUCCUAUGAGGACAUGUAUCCAUACGAAAAGCAUCAAGACUUGCUGGACCGGUACCACCAAAGCGCAAGGAAAGAGAGGUAUGAGAUCAUUACUUCGAUGAUCACUACCCGAAUGGGUAGUGGAGAGUCCCUUACCGCUCAUCUGUAAAAGAUGCAAAGAUAUGUUGAUCGUUUGCUAAAGUUGAAUUUUAACUUUAAUGAAGAGCUGGCAAUUGACAUCAUCCUUCCCCCCCUGCCUCCCUGCUACAACCAGUUCCGCAUGACCUACCAUAUGAAUAAGGAAGAGGUCACCUUGAGCAAGCUUCAAGGCUUGCUUAGGACUGCUGAGAGCAAUGUCAAGGAUAAGUCUAUUGCAUCAACUCCCGCUCCAACUCUUGCCCCUGUUUUAGCUAUAGGGCAAGGGAAGGGUAAGAUGGGGAAGGCUCCCUCAAAGAGCCACCACAAGGGAAAGUCCCAAUAUGGCACCUCUUCUAGUGGAACCAAAGUUGGUUCUGCUAAACCCAACUCAAACCCCAAAGAGGAAGAGUGCCACCACUGCCACAAAAUAGGGCUUUGGAAGAGAAGAUGCCCAGAAUAUCUGUAGACAAUCAAGGAUGGAAAGAUCAAGCCAUCCUAUGCAGGUAUUUACACAAUUAGAUCUAAUGAUUCAUCACAUUCCAUUUCUUGGGUACUUGAUACAGGAUGUGGUUUACACAUUUGUUCUUAUUUGCAUGGCCUAAGAAGAGAUAGGGAUGUGGAGCAUGGGAAGAUUAAUUUGAUCAUGGCGAAAAUAAGAUUGUCGCCUGUUACCAAGAUCAGAGUUAGUGGAUUAGGAUUAGAUUUAAACAAUUAUUGCUAUUCGUUAGAUAUGGCAAGAAACAUCAUUUCAUUUCAUGGUUUAUAUAGACAAGGUUUUAGAUAUUCAUUUGAUAAUGAAAAAGGUUCUGUUAAUGCUUAUCUUAAUGAUGUAUUUUAUUUUGAAGCAUUGCCUUGUAAUGGAAUAUAUGAAACUGUGAUGGUUAUAGAUAACUUAGGAAAUGAUGUUAUGUGUAUUGAUUCAUCCAAUGCUUUGGAUAAAACAUGCUUGUGGCAUUGUUGUCUUGGACAUGUCAACAAGAAACGCAUAGCCCAACUCCAAAAGGAUGGAGUGUUGGAGUCAUUUGACCUUAGGGAUGAUGACAUGUGCGAGUCUUGUUUGCUUGGAAAGAUGACCAAGUCACCCUUCACUGGCACUUGUGAAAAGGGCAAGGGUCUAUUGGAUCUCAUACACACUGAUGUGUGUGGGCCCUUUAAAUCAACCACAAGGGAUGCGAGUCGCUUCUACGUGACUUUUACCGAUGAUUAUAGUAGAUAUGAGUAUAUCUACUUAAUCAAGCAUAAGUCAUAAACCUUUGAAAAGUUCAAAGAGUUUAAACAAGAAGUGGAGAAUUAGUUGGGCAGGAAAAUCAAAAUGCUUCGAUCUGAUCGAGGAGGAGAGUACCUAAGUUUUGAAUUCCAUGACUAUCUCAAGGAACGCGGAAUCGUUUCACAAUUGACGCCACCUAGGACACCGCAGUUGAACGGUGUGGCUGAGAGGUGUAAUCGAACCUUGUUAGACAUGGUUCGUUCCAUGAUGAGUCGUGCUUCACUACCUGUCUCAUUCUGGGGGUAUGCCUUAGAGACUACCGCCUAUAUCCUUAAAUUAGUCCCCACGAAGAAGGUUGCCAAAACACCUCACGAGAUGUGGACAAGGAAGGCUCCCUCGUUGGCACAUAUCAAGGUUUGGGGUUGCGAGACUUUCAUAAGACGAGAGACUCACAAAAAGCUCGAACCUCGUAGUGAGCGGUGUAUUUUCAUCGGCUAUCCACAUAAGUCCUUUGGAUAUCUCNCGUUGCGAGAAGAGAGGUUUUCCGAGAGCGAGAACUCAUAAGCCAAGGGGACAGUGGGAGGCAAAUCAAUAUUGAAGAGAUUCAAGAGUCGAGCGAUGAAGGAACCUCUAACACUGGCUCUCAACUCGAGGAGGAAACUCCUGUUGAACCAAUUGACAAGUCCUUACCUCUUAGAUGUUCCGAUAGAGUUAGGGUUCAAACCCAGUUUUAUGGUUUUCAUAUUACUAUCGAAGGGGAUACGUUCAUUAGUGACAGUACACUAGUGAAUCUGGACGAACCUAACAGCUAUAAGGAAGCCAUGGUAGGCCCGGAGUCUGCAAAGUGGAAAGAGGUGAUGGAUAGCAAGAUUCAGUCCAUGUAUGACAACCAAGUUUGGAAUUUGGUUGACCAUGUGCCCGGACGUAAGACGGUCGGGUGCAAGUUGAUCUUCAAGAAGAAGACCGAAAUGGAUGGGAAUGUGCACACAUACAAGGCGCGAUUGGUCGUGAAGGGUUUCAAUCAAACUCUCGGAGUUGAUUAUGAUGAAACCUUCUCACCGGUUGCUAAGAUAAAAUCUAUUAGGGUGAUGCUGGCCAUUGAUGUAUUUCAUGAUUAUUAAAUAUGGCAGAUGGAUGUCAAAGCCGCUUUCCUUAAUGGGAAGUUGGCUGAGGAUGUUUAAAUGGCUCAGCCAAAGGGUUUUGUCAAUUCAAAGCAUCCCAAUAGAGUGUGUAAGCUUGAGAAGUCCAUUUAUGGACUUAAGCAAGCGUCCGUAGAUGGAAUCUUUGUUUCGAUGAGAAAGUCAAAGAGUUUGGUUUUCUGCGAAUCAAAGAUGAAUCAUGUGUAUAUGUCAAAGCCGGUGGGAGUAUAUUAAGCUUCCUCGUAUUGUAUGUCGAUGACAUACUACUCCUAGGAAACGACAUCCCGAUACUACAGGAGGUUAAGUCCUUGCUCGGGAAGUGCUUCGCUAUGAAGGACCUCGGAGAGGCUUCCUAUAUUUUGGGAAUAAGGAUAGUGAGAGAUAGAAGUAAGAGACUAAUAGGACUUAGUCAGAAUACUUACUUGGACAAGGUACUAAAACAUUUCA